AACGCGAAGAACCUUACCCAGACUUGACAUGCAGUAGACCUCGCUAGAAAUAGCGACUCCCUUCGGGGCUGCUGCACAGGUGCUGCAUGGCUGUCGUCAGCUCGUGCCGUGAGGUGUUGGGUUAAGUCCCGCAACGAGCGCAACCCUUAUCAUUAGUUGCCAACAUUUAAGGUGGGAACUCUAAUGAGACUGCCUGGGUUAACCAGGAGGAAGGUGAGGAUGACGUCAAGUCCGCAUGGCCCUUAUGUCUGGGGCUACACACGUGCUACAAUGGUCGGUACAGAAGGCAGCGAAACCGCGAGGUGAAGCAAAUCCCAAAAGCCGAUCUCAGUUCAGAUUGUAGUCUGCAACUCGACUACAUGAAGACGGAAUUGCUAGUAAUGGCGUGUCAGCACACCGCCGUGAAUACGUUCCCGGGCCUUGUACACACCGCACGA
Molecule: ribosomal RNA, 437 nt
Filed under: uncultured bacterium
Lineage: Bacteria
Description: bacterial SSU rRNA
Rfam family: Bacterial small subunit ribosomal RNA
Source: RNAcentral